Molecule: ribosomal RNA, 400 nt
Filed under: uncultured bacterium
Lineage: Bacteria
Description: bacterial SSU rRNA
Rfam family: Bacterial small subunit ribosomal RNA
Source: RNAcentral
UGGGGAAUUUUGGACAAUGGGCGCAAGCCUGAUCCAGCAAUGCCGCGUGCGGGAAGAAGGCCUUAGGGUUGUAAACCGCUUUUAGCAGGAGCGAAAAGGUCGAUUCUAAUAAAGUCGACUGAUGACGGUACCUGCAGAAUAAGCACCGGCUAACUACGUGCCAGCAGCCGCGGUAAUACGUAGGGUGCAAGCGUUAAUCGGAAUUACUGGGCGUAAAGCGUGCGCAGGUGGUUGCGUAAGAUGAGUGUGAAAUACCUGGGCUUAACCUGGGAAUUGCAUUCGUGACUGCGCGGCUAGAGUGUGGUAGAGGAGGGUAGAAUUCCGCGUGUAGCAGUGAAAUGCGUAGAUAUGCGGAGGAAUACCGAUGGCGAAGGCAGCCCUCUGGACCAUUACUGACACU